RNAcentral lists this transfer RNA (91 nucleotides) under Asanoa iriomotensis. RNAcentral's name for it is "tRNA-Val". The record is from RNAcentral. Lineage: Bacteria; Bacillati; Actinomycetota; Actinomycetes; Micromonosporales; Micromonosporaceae.
GCAUCGGAUAGUUCCACGGCGUGAUCGCGCCGACGACACCGGCGGGUUCGCGUACGACAAGCGAGUUUCGGAUCGUCUCCGGAUCGAACCC